This is a microRNA precursor of Ciona intestinalis (vase tunicate), 104 nucleotides long. Ensembl annotates it as cin-mir-1497. Lineage: Eukaryota; Metazoa; Chordata; Ascidiacea; Phlebobranchia; Cionidae. The record is from Ensembl.
GCCGGAAUCUGGCUGUUAGCGCAACCACUUGUGAAUCUCCAACACUCGGCUUUGUCCACGACUUUGUUGAAGAAUUGCAGGUGGUAGGUGCUUUCAAGCCGUAU